GGCUGGUUAGCUCAAUUAGUUAGAGCAUGGUGCUAAUAACACCAAGGUCGUGGGUUUGAUCCCCAUACGGGCCA
Molecule: transfer RNA, 74 nt
Filed under: Trichechus manatus latirostris (Florida manatee)
Lineage: Eukaryota; Metazoa; Chordata; Mammalia; Sirenia; Trichechidae
Description: tRNA-Ile (AAT) (tRNA-Ile-AAT-5-1)
Rfam family: tRNA
About the family: Transfer RNA (tRNA) molecules are approximately 80 nucleotides in length. Their secondary structure includes four short double-helical elements and three loops (D, anti-codon, and T loops).
Source: Rfam by way of RNAcentral